Molecule: long non-coding RNA, 4228 nt
Organism: Homo sapiens (human)
Lineage: Eukaryota; Metazoa; Chordata; Mammalia; Primates; Hominidae
Exons: 3
Source: RefSeq, a predicted model, not a curated record
ACAAGUGAACUAUAUAUGGCCAGGGAAAUCUCCAGCAGUCCCAGUAUUUUUAAACUCUUGUAGUCUCCUGUUUGCACACUCAUGUGACGUAGAGGAACUAGAUCCAGAGAGUUUCUCAUGGGAAUCCGGGAUGCUUCGGCAUAACUGCUGGCUUUGGUUGCAUGUGUUUUUGCCCCUUGUUAAAGCAGUCCUUGGGGUUUCAUUUCACAUCCAAAAGACCUGGGAAGCAGCAGAUUCUGCAACCAAGUCAUGAAGCAUUUUAUUUCAGAAAAGAAGGGAUAAGAGAAAAGCCAUGGAGACAGGGCCUCUUUCUGCCCCCCAGUCUGGAGGGCAGUGGAGCAAACUCUUGGGUUCAAGCCAUCCUCCUGCCUCAGCUUCCUGAGUAGCUGGGAUUACAGGAAUGUGCCAUAGUACCUGGCAUAUUCUCUUUUUUUUUAAAAGUUGAGAGGUAUUUUUUACAGGUUUGGUGUGGUAACUGUUUGUGUUAACCCAUUUUGUACUGCUGUAACAGAAUAGAACAGACUGAGUAAUUUAUAAUGAACAAAAAUGUAUUGGCUCAUGGUUCUGGAGGCUGGGAAGUACAAGGUUGAGGGGCUGGCACCUUGCAAGGGCCUUCUUGCUACAUCAUCCUAGGGAGGAAGGGCAAAGGGUGGGAUGAGAGGGAGGGAGACAGAAAGAAAGGGCAGGAGAGAGGGAGAGAGAGAAGGAAAGUGAGAGAGAGAGAGAGAGAAAGAAAAAAGAGAGAGAGAAAGAAAGAGAAAAAAGAGAGAAGAGAGAGAGAGAUUGAGAACAGAGAGCCAAACUUAUCCUUUUGGAAACCACUUCUGAAAUAACAGCAUUAAUCUAUUCAUGAGGGCAGGGCCCCCACAGUCUAAUUAUCUCUUAAAGUUCCCACCUUUCAAUACUGUUACAAAGGAAAUUAAAAUUUAACAUAAGUUUGAGAGGGUACAAACAUUCAAACCAUAGAACCCUACAAAAAUCUCACAGACCUAGACUUAUUUCUUGCUGUUCUGCCUUCUGUUCUCAAGGUCACAAGAGGGCUGAUAGAGCUGUAACUAUUCACUUCACGGUGGAAGAAACAAUAAGGAAAGAAGAUAUGAUCCUCCUUUCUAAAGUGCCUUCUGGAGGUACUUUCUAUUUUCCUCCCAUUACCCUGAGCCUCAUCAUAUGGCCAAACCAGAGAGGCCGGGAAAUGUAAUUUCACAGCUGAACACAGUUAAGUUUCCAUUAUAAAGAAAGAGAACGAGAAAGGAUAUUAGAGGCAAGAAGCUGUUCCUGUCACAGUUAGCAUUAAAACUAAAGUUAGAGAAGAAAAUUUUCUCUUUCAUUUAAUGUUCUAUAAAGCAACAUUUAUUGAUGAACUCACUGUCCUAGACACUAAGGAUUCAAAAACCGAAAUGACACAGUUCUUGUCUUCAGAAUAUCACAGUCUAAUGGAGAAAAUACGUGUUCAUGUCCAUAGAUGAUUACAUACUAGAUGUACCCCUAGAUUUUUAUGAGAACAAGUAAGAUAAACUCCCCACUCAGACAAGGGUGAGGAAAAGGAAGAAGGCUUUAUGGAAGUCACAGAAGAAAAAUACGGAAAGAAAGUAGACUUUGGUGACAAUGUAUUGGGCAGAGGUCAAAUAAAGAUAGAAAAUACGUCCAUUGGGUUUAAUAACAACAGAGGCCUUUAGUGAGCUUGGGGAACACUGUUUCAGGGGAGUGCAGGAAAUCAAAUCCAGUGGGGCAAAAUGUGACUAUUAAUGAUAAAGUUGAGAGGGAAAAUACAGAAAAGUCUUUAAGAAAUGUAGUUAUAAAGAGGAAAAGAGAAGGAAAAUGGCAGCUAACAAGGUCUAGGCUAGGGAAUGGUUUUUUUAAGGAUAAGAAACAUAUGAGGAUACUUCAAUACCACCGAGAAUGUACAAAAAGAGGGACAGAGACAGAUAUACAAAUAAAGAGAGGAAAGAGAGCAGGUGAGCUUAUCCUCUGAAAUGGCAGAAAUCAAAGUAAAAUCUAAUGCCAAGGCAAGUGAUAUCUAAGACAAUGAUCAUAAAACUGAGACGUAUCUGAAGAUAAUCUCUAUGUUUUCUGUGAAGUAGAAGUCCCAGUUCUGACAUAGCAGUAGAGUCAGGGAGAAGAGUGAUACAUGCAAAAGAGUGAUAUGCUUUACAUUAGCCAUUACUAGCAAUAAGAAAGACAGGGAUGGGUGAAGAAAAGAAAGAAGAGUAGGAAGUAGGAAAGGGCAUGCAUAUUAUGAAAAUCUUUUCUCUCACCUCUGUCCCCAGUCCCCACCACAGAGGCAAUUACUGUCACUAAUUUAUUGUGUAUUUUUCCAGAGGUAUUCUAUUCCAAUACAAGCAAAUAUCUAUAUUUAUCCCUUUUUACAUUUUUACAUAUGGUGCAUACCAUACACAUUUACCUUGUUUUGGAUAAUUUAAAUAUACAUAGGUAUACUGCUACUCUCCCAAUCCCUGAGAUACCAUCAUUAACUCCUCCCUAUCUACAAACAAGAUGAUCAUGUCAGAGAUGUUAACUGUCUUGCUCAAGAUUCUUAGCUGACAAAUAAGUAGUGAAGCAGGAAAAACAGAUUCCACCAUUAUAUCCAUAUAAUAGAUCUGUAUUACAUUUGGAACUGUUCUCUCAACCAGAAAUUAAAUCUAAGAGAAAAAUACACUUGGAAAUUUAACCUCAGAGUGAGUGACUUGAAUGCUCCAACUAUGCUGUCAUCAUCAUGAAAUAUUCUACUGCUGUGUUCUAUUACUGUUUUGAAACUGUGUCAAAGACCAAUUGAUAGAUAGUCCAGUCAGAAGAUCUCAGCUGUGUAUGGAUAUCAAGAGGCACUUAGCUCUAGGAAGGUAGCCUUCUUAUGCCUCUUACAGAAUUUCUCUCUCCAAUUUAGUUGGAGACACAGUGGCCCUGCCUGCCAAUUUUAGAUCACUCUCCCGCUACAAUUUACAUAAUUUACAUUUUAACCUUACUUAUCUACCGAAACAGGCCAAUGACCCUCCUCAAACAGCUGUGCGUUCUAUUUCCUGAGUUUCUGCACUUGUUUCUUUCACUUGAAACUGCCCCUAACACUGCCUCACUUGGACAGCUUCUUUAUCUUUCCAAACAUAGAUUAAUUCAUUUGCUAAUUCAAUAAGUACAUACUAAGUGCUGGCUACCAUCCAGAAAGUUUCAGCCCAGAAGUUUUGAUGGGACACAGGAUAGGCAAGGGAUCUGUCCUCAGGAACUUGUACUCUAGUGUAGAAAGCAGAUAAAAACAAAUAGAUGUAUUAACUAGAGAUUGUUUGGGGUUCUAUGAAAAAAAUAAACAAGGUGUUGGAAUGGGACAUUACAAGAGUGACUCAUUUUAGAUUGUUAGAGAGAUUAAGUUGAGACCUCAAGGGUGAGAAGGAGCCAGCUCUGUGGAAAGCAGGGGAAGGAUGUUUCAGGCAGAGGAAAAGCAAGUACUAUGGCCUUGAAGUGAUAAAGUGGCUUAACCUUUCUAAGAACUGACAAAAGGCCAUUGUUGCUGGUGCAUAAAUGAGGAAGGGGACAGGAGAGAACAUAAAGGGAGGAGGUUAGAGAGGUGGGGCAGACCCAGACCAUGGAGGGCUUUGUCAGUCAAGGUAACCGAACUCAACUCUAAGGAUAAUGGGGAAGGAUUAAAAGGUUUUAUGCAAGGAAGAAAAGAGAUGACAACAUCUGGUUUUGUUGUUAAACAACUAAUUUGGCUACUUUGUAAAUAAUGCAUCAGAAGAGACCGUGUGAAAGUGGGGAAUCUGCUGAGGUGCGUGUGAUAGUCUGCAUGACAGACGAUGGUGGCAUGAACUAAGGUAGUGGCUGUGGAGAUGAAGUGGGAUUAACAGGACUUGCUAGUUGAUGUGGCUGGUGUCAAGGAUGACCCUAAGUUUCCAUCCUUGGUAACUGGGUGGAUGGCAGCACUGUAGCUCGCCUACACAGAUCUGCUUCCUUCUUCUAGGCAAGUGCAAGCUGUCCUGCUCCAGGGCAUAUAGUCCAUUAAGAAAUGUGCAGGUUGGAGUUCAGACCCCCCACCCCUCUGCAGGACACUUUUCUGCAACCUCACUUGGUGAGCUUGGUGUUAUGCUCCUGGGACAGCCACUGCAAUGAGGGAAACUGGGGCUGGUGCAGAUUUGGUAGCGGGGUGAGAGUAGAGAGUCCCAUAUUGGCCACAUAAAAUUUGAGUUGCCAAGAGGAUAAGCCAAUAGGUGAUACCAAAUAAGAAUUUGGAUAUGCCCAUUGA